This 958-nucleotide small RNA is filed under the name Spiroplasma syrphidicola. RNAcentral's name for it is "bacterial LSU rRNA". The stretch from base 458 to 958 matches the Rfam family "Bacterial large subunit ribosomal RNA", at positions 1 to 501 of the family's 2925-position model. The record is from RNAcentral. Lineage: Bacteria; Bacillati; Mycoplasmatota; Mollicutes; Entomoplasmatales; Spiroplasmataceae.
UACACACCGCCCGUCACACCAUGAGAGUUGAUAAUACCAGAAGUCGGUAUCCUAACCGUAAGGAGGGAGCCGCCCAAGGUAGGAUUGAUGAUUAGGGUGAAGUCGUAACAAGGUAUCCGUACCGGAAGGUGCGGAUGGAUCACCUCCUUUCUAUGGAGUUAUACUUUAUAGUAAAUACGGCUAUAAUGAAGUUAUGUUUAGUUUUCAGAGAUUAGUUUCUCUGAAUUAAUCGAAAUUGAACAAGUAGUUAAAUUUUGAUUAAAAAUUGUUCUUUGAAAACUGGAUAAUAGACAUCUAGUUAUUUCAUUUUUAAUGAAAUAACAAAAUAAUUCAAAUUUUCUGUUAUUAAAGUAAUUUUUAAAUUAAUAACUAAAAUUUCACAGUUAUAUUUUGUAAAUGAUUCUCAAAAAAAUUAUAAAAACCUUGAUUAAUUUUAUUAAUUAAGCAAUGAUCAAACUUUGAAGUUACAAAGGGCGUAUGGUGAAUGCCUUGGGAAUAGGAGACGAUGAAGGACGUGACUACCUGCGAUAAGGUUCGGGGAGCUGGAAGUAAGCUUUGAUCCGGACAUGUCCGAAUGGGGAAACCCGGUGAGAUUAAUCUCUCAUCAUCCUAUAAUGAAUAAAUAGUUAUAGUGAAGGUAUACCUAGGGAAUUGAAACAUCUUAGUACCUAGAGGAAAAGAAAGCGAAAGCGAUUCUCUGAGUAGCGGCGAGCGAAAGGGGAACAGCCCAAACCAACUUAUGUUGGGGUUGUAGGACCACAUUAGUAGAGUUACAAAACUUGUUUAUAGUAGAAAUGGUUGGGAAACCAUGCCACAGAGGGUGAUAGCCCCGUAUACGAAAUGAACAGGACUCGAAGUGGAAUCCUGAGUACGGCGAGACACGUGAAAUCUUGUCGGAAUCAACGCGGACCACCGCGUAAGGCUAAAUACUACCUAUUCACCGAUAGUGAACCAGUAC